GAUGAAGAACGCAGCGAAAUGCGAUAAGUAAUGUGAAUUGCAGAAUUCAGUGAAUCAUCGAAUCUUUGAACGCACAUUGCGCCCGCUGGUAUUCCGGGGGGCAUGCCUGUCCGAGCGUCAUUACAACCCUCAAGCUCAGCUUGGUGUUGGGCCCCGCCGCCCCGGCGGGCCCUAAAGUCAGUGGCGGUGCCGUCCGGCUCCGAGCGUAGUAAUUCUUCUCGCUCUGGAGGUCCGGUCGUGUGCUCGCCAGCAACCCCCAAUUUUUUUCAGGUUGACCUCGGAUCAGGUAGGGAUACCCGCUGAACUUAAGCAUAUCAAUAAGCGGAGGA
RNAcentral lists this unclassified non-coding RNA (329 nucleotides) under soil metagenome. RNAcentral's name for it is "partial contains 5.8S ribosomal RNA, internal transcribed spacer 2, and large subunit ribosomal RNA". The stretch from base 1 to 120 matches the Rfam family "5.8S ribosomal RNA", at positions 35 to 154 of the family's 154-position model. The record is from RNAcentral.